CCUCCUGUACAUGAGCUGAUAAAUUGGUUAUACUGUGUAAUUUAUACACUUCAUAAGCUUUAACAACAACUCCUAUACGCCCCUUAUUGCCCUAUACGCCCCUCAUUGAUUCAAAAACUACUUUUCAGGUUUGACUACAUAGAGAACAGAACAUUUUAACCCCACACACUAAAACACCAAGAAACACACACUGUCUCUCUCGUAUAGCUCGGCUUAGAACGUAUCAACUUAUACAGUCCAUAUUUUCAUAAAAGAUAUGUCGUCAGACGAGGAGGAGUUUGGUGUGGUACAGGGAGUAUAA
RNAcentral lists this long non-coding RNA (301 nucleotides) under Helianthus annuus (common sunflower). Its description in RNAcentral is "sRNA HanXRQr2_Chr15g0679371". Lineage: Eukaryota; Viridiplantae; Streptophyta; Magnoliopsida; Asterales; Asteraceae. The record is from RNAcentral.